This 409-nucleotide ribosomal RNA is filed under the name Actinomycetes bacterium. RNAcentral describes it as "Actinobacteria bacterium partial 16S ribosomal RNA". It matches the Rfam family "Bacterial small subunit ribosomal RNA", at positions 355 to 776 of the family's 1533-position model. Lineage: Bacteria; Bacillati; Actinomycetota; Actinomycetes. The record is from RNAcentral.
UGGGGAAUAUUGCACAAUGGGCGGAAGCCUGAUGCAGCGACGCCGCGUGGGGGAUGAAGGCCUUCGGGUUGUAAACUCCUUUCGACAGGGACGAAGCUUUUGUGACGGUACCUGUAUAAGAAGCACCGGCUAACUACGUGCCAGCAGCCGCGGUAAUACGUAGGGUGCGAGCGUUGUCCGGAAUUACUGGGCGUAAAGAGCUCGUAGGUGGUUUGUCGCGUCGUCUGUGAAAUUCCGGGGCUUAACUCCGGGCGUGCAGGCGAUACGGGCUGACUUAAGUGCUGUAGGGGAAACUGGAAUUCCUGGUGUAGCGGUGAAAUGCGCAGAUAUAAGGAGGAACACCGAUGGCGAAGGCAGGUCUCUGGGCAGUAACUGACGCUGAGGAGCGAAAGCAUGGGUAGCGAAGAGG